This 496-nucleotide ribosomal RNA is filed under the name uncultured bacterium. RNAcentral describes it as "partial 16S ribosomal RNA". It matches the Rfam family "Bacterial small subunit ribosomal RNA", at positions 28 to 507 of the family's 1533-position model. The record is from RNAcentral.
GAUGAACGCUGGCGGCGUGCCUAAUACAUGCAAGUCGAGCGAACAGACGAGGAGCUUGCUCCUCUGACGUUAGCGGCGGACGGGUGAGUAACACGUGGAUAACCUACCUAUAAGACUGGGAUAACUUCGGGAAACCGGAGCUAAUACCGGAUAAUAUAUUGAACCGCAUGGUUCAAUAGUGAAAGACGGUUUUGCUGUCACUUAUAGAUGGAUCCGCGCCGCAUUAGCUAGUUGGUAAGGUAACGGCUUACCAAGGCAACGAUGCGUAGCCGACCUGAGAGGGUGAUCGGCCACACUGAACUGAGACACGGUCCAGACGCCUACGGGAGGCAGCAGUAGGGAAUCUUCCGCAAUGGGCGAAAGCCUGACGGAGCAACGCCGCGUGAGUGAUGAAGGUCUUCGGAGCGUAAAACUCUGUUAUUAGGGAAGAACAAAUGUGUAAGUAACUAUGCACGUCUUGACGGUACCUAAUCAGAAAGCCACGGCUAACUACGUG